AGAGUUUGAUCCUGGCUCAGGACGAACGCUGGCGGCGUGCCUAACACAUGCAAGUCACGGGGGGUAGCAAUACCAACCGGCGAACGGGUGCGGAACACGUGAGCAAUCUACCGAUUACUGGGGGAUAGCCGGCCCAACGGCCGGGUAAUACCGCAUACGCUCAAGAGGGGACAUCCCCAUUUGAGGAAACCUCCGGGGGUAAUCGAGGAGCUCGCGUCUUAUCAGCUAGUUGGUGAGGUAACGGCUCACCAAGGCUACGACGGGUAGCUGGUCUGAGAGGAUGGCCAGCCACAUUGGGACUGCGACACGGCCCAGACUCCUACGGGAGGCAGCAGUGGGGAAUAUUGCGCAAUGGACGAAAGUCUGACGCAGCGACGCCGCGUGUGGGAUGAAGCUCUUCGGGGUGUAAACCACUGUUGCCCGGGACGAAUAUCCUUUUUUGAAAGGAUUGACGGUACCGGGUGAGGAAGCACCGGCUAACUCUGUGCCAGCAGCCGCGGUAAUACAGAGGGUGCGAGCGUUGUCCGGAAUCACUGGGCGUAAAGGGCGCGUAGGUGCUUGUUAAGCGUGUGGUGAAAGCCUGGGGCUCAACCCCAGGUCUGCCGUGCGAACUGGCAAGCUUGAGCGUAGUAGAGGCAGGUGGAAUUUCGGGUGUAGCGGUGGAAUGCGUAGAUAUCCGAAAGAACACCGGUGGCGAAGGCGGCCUGCUGGGCUACUGCUGACACUGAUGCGCGACAGCGUGGGGAGCAAACAGGAUUAGAUACCCUGGUAGUCCACGCCGUAAACGAUGGGUACUAGGCGUCUGGGGGAGCGACCCCCUGGGUGCCGGCGCUAACGCAUGAAGUACCCCGCCUGGGGAGUACGGCCCAAGGCUGAAACUCAAAGGAAUUGACGGGGGCCCGCACAAGCGGUGGAGCAUGUGGUUUAAUUCGACGCAACGCGAAGAACCUUACCUGGGUUUGACAUUCUGGAGAAAGCCCUCAGAAACGGGGGCCCCUCUUCGGAGUUCCAGCACAGAUGCUGCAUGGCUGUCGUCGGCUCGUGUCGUGAGAUGUUGGGUUAAGUCCCGCAACGAGCGCAACCCUCAUCCCUAGUUACCAGCGGGUAAAGCCGGGAACUCUAGGGGGACUGCCGGUGCCAAACCGGACGAAGGUGGGGACGACGUCAAGUCAUCAUGGCUCUUACAUCCAGGGCUACACACGUGCUACAAUGGGCCAGACAAAGGGUCGCCAACCCGCGAGGGGGAGCCAAUCCCAUAAACUGGUCCUCAGUUCGGAUUGCAGUCUGCAACUCGACUGCAUGAAGCUGGAAUCGCUAGUAAUCGUGGAUCAGCUACGCCACGGUGAAUACGUUCCC
RNAcentral lists this ribosomal RNA (1356 nucleotides) under metagenome. Its description in RNAcentral is "bacterial SSU rRNA". It matches the Rfam family "Bacterial small subunit ribosomal RNA", at positions 8 to 1375 of the family's 1533-position model. The record is from RNAcentral.